Molecule: ribosomal RNA, 198 nt
Filed under: uncultured bacterium
Lineage: Bacteria
Also listed under: 1 other name
Description: partial 16S ribosomal RNA
Rfam family: Bacterial small subunit ribosomal RNA
Source: RNAcentral
ACUCCUACGGGAGGCAGCAGUGGGGAAUAUUGGACAAUGGGCGCAAGCCUGAUCCAGCCAUGCCGCGUGUGUGAAGAAGGCCUUUUGGUUGUAAAGCACUUUAAGCGAGGAGGAGGCUACUUGGAUUAAUACUCUAGGAUAGUGGACGUUACUCGCAGAAUAAGCACCGGCUAACUCUGUGCCAGCAGCCGCGGUAAU